This 529-nucleotide ribosomal RNA is filed under the name uncultured Methylobacter sp. RNAcentral describes it as "bacterial SSU rRNA". It matches the Rfam family "Bacterial small subunit ribosomal RNA", at positions 202 to 719 of the family's 1533-position model. Lineage: Bacteria; Pseudomonadati; Pseudomonadota; Gammaproteobacteria; Methylococcales; Methylococcaceae. The record is from RNAcentral.
AGGGGAUCUUCGGACCUUUCGCUAUGAGAUGAGCCUGCGUUAGAUUAGCUAGUUGGUAGGGUAAAGGCCUACCAAGGCGACGAUCUAUAGCUGGUCUGAGAGGACGAUCAGCCACACUGGGACUGAGACACGGCCCAGACUCCUACGGGAGGCAGCAGUGGGGAAUAUUGGACAAUGGGCGAAAGCCUGAUCCAGCAAUACCGCGUGUGUGAAGAAGGCCUUAGGGUUGUAAAGCACUUUCAAUUGGGAGGAAAACCUGCCGGCCAAUACCCGGUAGCUUGACAUUACCUUUAGAAGAAGCACCGGCUAACUCCGUGCCAGCAGCCGCGGUAAUACGGAGGGUGCGAGCGUUAAUCGGAAUUACUGGGCGUAAAGCGUGCGUAGGCGGUUCGUUAAGUCAGAUGUGAAAGCCCUGGGCUCAACCUGGGAACUGCAUUUGAAACUGGCGGACUAGAGUUUAGUAGAGGGGAGUGGAAUUUCAGGUGUAGCGGUGAAAUGCGUAGAUAUCUGAAGGAACGCCAGUGGCGAA